Capra hircus (goat) is the source of this 963-nucleotide long non-coding RNA. RefSeq lists it as uncharacterized. The record is from RefSeq and is a predicted model, not a curated record. The transcript has 2 exons. Lineage: Eukaryota; Metazoa; Chordata; Mammalia; Artiodactyla; Bovidae.
GGAGAGAGGCUCAGAAACCUUUCCAGCCAAGGAAUCUCCAGUACCUAACUCUCUAGGAGCAUCAACCGGGAUCAAGUAAAGGAGCACACACAGGAUUGAGACUGGAAAACAUGCUUCUGACAUGGACUCUCCUCUUGUUCCUCCUAAUGGACCAGCCUUCCUUCUCUGAGGCCCAAGACCUCCUCCGUCACCAAACUGACAGGCCCAGAACGAAGAUCUCUGCCAACCACAAAUAUUACUGUGACAUGAUGAUGAAGGCUCGAGGGCUGGCCACUGACAAGAGCUGUAAGAAGAACAAGAUCUUUGUCCACAGUGUGUCACCCAGCACUCGUGGCCUUUGCGAGAGUCCAGCUGUGACGUGUAUGAAGUCGUCUGAGUUUUACAGCUGCCACCUCAUCACCUUCAAAGUCACUCAGUGUAAUCUCUACCCAGAGGCUGUGCCCCCGCACUGUCACUAUAAAGGUGUCACUUUCCAGAUGGAUGUGAAAAUAGUCUGUGCGGGCAAACGUCCAAUUCGCUUGGAAGAAUAGCCUCUGUAGUCACUCACCACGGCUGUCUGCUGCUCUGCUUCACCCCAUCUCAUUCCCUCUGUGAUGUCCUGCUCAACCCCAGCUGGUGUGGUUUCCUGCAGAGUCUGGGCUCCCACCGUUCCCUGAGUCCUAGCCCCAACGCCUGCUCUCUCACUGUCAGUCCUGUGGAUUUGUGUUAGAGAGAUGGUGGAGGCAGAGGGCAGGUAGGCUUGUCAUCAGCACCCUUUGGGACUUUUGGUUCUUGUCCUGUUUAAUUGCUUUGUCCUGGCUGCAGAGGGAGAGAAAGCUAAUGCUAAAUUCUUUCCUGGGGCUUGGUCCCUCAAUCCCUAGGGUGGAAGAGAAAGUCAGAGCGAGUUGUGGGCAGUUAUGCCCCAGGGAUCUGCUGAGCCCAUUUGCCCCUAAACCUGCUGCUUUAAUAAAACUCUCAAGGGCA